GUUUCUGUAGUGUAGUGGUUAUCACGUUCGCUUUACACGCGAAAGGUCCCUGGUUCGAAACCGGGCAGAAAGCA
RNAcentral lists this transfer RNA (74 nucleotides) under Merluccius polli (Benguela hake). RNAcentral describes it as "tRNA-Val". It matches the Rfam family "tRNA". Rfam says of the family: Transfer RNA (tRNA) molecules are approximately 80 nucleotides in length. Their secondary structure includes four short double-helical elements and three loops (D, anti-codon, and T loops). Lineage: Eukaryota; Metazoa; Chordata; Actinopteri; Gadiformes; Merlucciidae. The record is from RNAcentral.